This 224-nucleotide long non-coding RNA is filed under the name Elaeis guineensis (African oil palm). Its description in RNAcentral is "long non-coding RNA (EGUI_LNC034552)". Lineage: Eukaryota; Viridiplantae; Streptophyta; Magnoliopsida; Arecales; Arecaceae. The record is from RNAcentral.
UAUAUCUUGAGCCUCCAAAUUCGUCGUAAAACAUAGUUAGUGGUGCUAUAUGCUAGAUAGUUGUAUUAUAAACAUCCCUUCCCAUAACCCUUUGAUUGUAGCUCUCAUCCAAACAUAAGAUAUCCAAUGAGCCAUUUUGCUUCAUCAUAUUGCUCACAUGGAUUAAUUCUAAAGGAUAUUAGCAUUAUAGCAAAUUGGUCUUCUACAAAUUAAAAGAAAACUAA